GGUCACGAGCUCCGACGCGAAGCCCCGGCUGGUCGGACGGCAACCCUCCCGCGCGGCGGGGUGCCCCGGGUGAGGACCAGGCGCACGGCGCACGCCGCGCGCAACGACCGCGA
Molecule: non-coding RNA, 113 nt
Filed under: Cellulomonas sp.
Lineage: Bacteria; Bacillati; Actinomycetota; Actinomycetes; Micrococcales; Cellulomonadaceae
Also listed under: 1 other name
Description: SAM-IV sequence
Rfam family: SAM (S-adenosyl methionine) riboswitch aptamer
About the family: SAM-IV is a mRNA element that regulates gene expression via direct sensing of S-adenosylmethionine (SAM or AdoMet). SAM-IV riboswitches share conserved nucleotide positions with the previously described SAM-I riboswitches sequence analysis and molecular recognition experiments suggest that SAM-I and SAM-IV riboswitches share similar ligand binding sites, but have different scaffolds.
Source: RNAcentral